RNAcentral lists this ribosomal RNA (614 nucleotides) under uncultured bacterium. Its description in RNAcentral is "bacterial SSU rRNA". It matches the Rfam family "Bacterial small subunit ribosomal RNA", at positions 338 to 961 of the family's 1533-position model. The record is from RNAcentral.
CCUACGGGAGGCAGCAGUAAGGAAUAUUGGACAAUGCUCGCAAGAGUGAUCCAGCCAUGCCGCGUGCAGGAAGACGGCCCUAUGGGUUGUAAACUGCUUUUGAACUAGAGAAAACCCUCCUACGUGUAGGAGGCUGAUAGUAUAGUUAGAAUAAGCAUCGGCUAACUUCGUGCCAGCAGCCGCGGUAAGACGAAGGAUGCAAGCGUUAUCCGGAUUCAUUGGGUUUAAAGGGAGCGUAGGUGGACUGAUAAGUCAGUGGUGAAAUCUCUCGGCUUAACCGAGAAAUUGCCAUUGAUACUGUUGGUCUUGAGUACAGUUGCUGUGGGCGGAAUAUGACAUGUAGUGGUGAAAUACAUAGAGAUGUCAUAGAACACCGAUUGCGAAGGCAGCUCACAAAGCUGUAACUGACACUGAGGCUCGAAAGUGCGGGGAUCAAACAGGAUUAGAUACCCUGGUAGUCCGCACCGUAAACGAUGAUUACUCGCUGCUGGGAGGUAACUUUCAGUGGCUUAGCGAAAGCGAUAAGUAAUCCACCUGGGAGUACGCCGGCAACGGUGAAACUUAAGGAAGUUAGACGGCGNGAGAGAGCGACGGACGACACGAGGGAGGUUAGG